RNAcentral lists this unclassified non-coding RNA (907 nucleotides) under Leishmania donovani. RNAcentral's name for it is "gene:LdHU3.36.8780(CDS-product:hypothetical_prote in_conserved)". The record is from RNAcentral. Lineage: Eukaryota; Euglenozoa; Kinetoplastea; Trypanosomatida; Trypanosomatidae.
GAACCCUUUGCUCCGGGACGAGGCGCGGACAGUGAGGAUCAAUGAGGCGUGGCACUUGUGUUCGAUUACUUGUGACGGUCAUGACUGGAGUUGUGACGGAUUCAAAGCGCGUGUUUUCAAGCUUCUCAGAAGGAUCGGAUGAGUUUCAGUGGAAGCAGAGGUACCUUCAGGAGCGGAGGGACACCGCGAUCGAAUUCCUCAGUGACUUGAAGAAGCGUGUCCCGAUCCAUGAUGCCAUUCGUCAGAGGGCUAUUAUCAACCGCAGCGCCACAAAAGAGGUUCACUGCGCCAAAGUGUUUGAAGAUAUCACCUCCAUUGGCGACAUUCCUGCAGACUUGGACGAUAGUCGUUCGGUUGUAGACGAGCUACUUGAUGACCUGCUGAUGGACGAGAACGCAGCCGACCGAUUGCAGCAUGUGGAUCUGGGUGACGUUCCUCUUUUGGAAAACGAGCUUCUAGGCGAUGACGCCGCGGGCGAGGAGACGAUUCGGCGGUGGCUGAAGCUAAAGCGUGACACUGCAGAUUAUCAGAGCUAUGCGUCGAUUCCUGAAGGGGAACGCUCCUCGUGGUCCGCAUGGUAUUUGCGUCACGUAAAGUGCAAAGACGCAAAUUGAGUUUCUUAUUCUGUCCCCACCGGAGAAACAGUCUCUGCUUUACUCACAGAAGGAUUUCAUAACGAAAUGACAACCAAAAAGUUUUGUUUCGACACUAGCGCUGUGGCCUUGUCGAAAGCAACGUGGCACUUCACACGAAAACGCCGUGCCGACGCAUUUGCCGACCUUUUCGAAGAGUAAAAUCAGAACUUGCCAAACAACAUGCUUUCAUUUACCUUGGCGCCGCUUAACAUCAACCUUCCACUCAUCAUUUUUCCCUUUUUUACGAUUCGCACGACUUUCUGUCGGAACAG